This 253-nucleotide ribosomal RNA is filed under the name uncultured bacterium. RNAcentral's name for it is "partial 16S ribosomal RNA". It matches the Rfam family "Bacterial small subunit ribosomal RNA", at positions 524 to 776 of the family's 1533-position model. The record is from RNAcentral.
UACAGAGGGGGCAAGCGUUGUUCGGAAUUACUGGGCGUAAAGCGUGCGCAGGCGGUGAUGUAAGACAGGUGUGAAAUCCCCGGGCUUAACCUGGGAACUGCAUUUGUGACUGCAUUGCUGGAGUGCGGCAGAGGGGGAUGGAAUUCCGCGUGUAGCAGUGAAAUGCGUAGAUAUGCGGAGGAACACCGAUGGCGAAGGCAAUCCCCUGGGCCUGCACUGACGCUCAUGCACGAAAGCGUGGGGAGCAAACAGG